GGAGUUAUUUGGUUCAAAGAAUAAGAAAAGACAUCAGUUUUUUAUGGCACAUUAAGUGGAUUUUUUUGACUAUUCGGUUACCUUGUUUUAGCAUUAUAAAUAGAUGUAAUCAGCCAUAGAGAAAGAAGAACUUUUUGCUGAAUAUAGAUGAAAUAUUUGAAUUGUGAGCUAUCAAUUCUCUUUGUUCUUACGGAAUUGAUUUGACUUAUCAAGCAUAGCUUGUGGCGUCCAUCUUUCCUUUGUUGCUGAACUUAUCACCUUUGGUGUGGCG
Molecule: long non-coding RNA, 271 nt
Filed under: Gossypium barbadense (sea-island cotton)
Lineage: Eukaryota; Viridiplantae; Streptophyta; Magnoliopsida; Malvales; Malvaceae
Description: long non-coding RNA (GBAR_LNC018060)
Source: RNAcentral